This is a long non-coding RNA of Zonotrichia leucophrys gambelii, 306 nucleotides long. RefSeq lists it as uncharacterized. The record is from RefSeq and is a predicted model, not a curated record. The transcript is spliced from 3 exons. Lineage: Eukaryota; Metazoa; Chordata; Aves; Passeriformes; Passerellidae.
CGGCUAAGAAGGAGCAACAUGCAGAAGAAGGAGUCUGUGCUGUGAAGAUCUGCAGCUGUAAGAAAACACCAAGAGAAGUCCGUGACAUCACAGGCAUAAUUCAACAUCUUUUGGGCACGAAGGAAGAUAUUAUUCUUCUCAUUAUACUGACGGUGCAAGAUGUUUUCUAUUACCAACUGUAUGGCUGUCUCUUCUUCCACUGGAUCUUCAGAGGAAGAAUACAUCCUUCUCUACAGGACCCCCUUGCUCCAACAGAACCCCACAUGACCCUUCAGGAGGACUUCAGCCACAUUUCCAUUUGGACUG